Long non-coding RNA from Magnolia sinica, 971 nucleotides. RefSeq lists it as uncharacterized. The record is from RefSeq and is a predicted model, not a curated record. The transcript is spliced from 2 exons. NCBI's taxonomy places the organism in Eukaryota, Viridiplantae, Streptophyta, Magnoliopsida, Magnoliales, Magnoliaceae.
UCCGGUCUGUUGCCUUCAACAUCCAACGGGGAAAACCACGGUUAAGAUCUUCCUGAUCGGUCUUCAUCAAGCCGCAGCCCCUCCAUGGGUGGGACCCACUUGGACUGGACGGUCCUGAUCAGCCACUUCAUCUGGAACAUACCAAUCAAUCCGCCUAUAAAGCGGACGACUUGGACUGGUCUCCGAAAGGGCCGUUUGCCACCACAUCUCCAAUCAGGAGCCACGUAGCAUCUUAUGGGGCCCACGUGUCCCCUCCCAUGUACACGUGUCACACGAGGCCGAUGUGGCGUGAGGCUUAUGCCUCCUCCUUGCCUAUAAAAAGGGCAACACAACGAAAUUAACGCCAUCUCUUUAAAGCGCCAAGCCCAUGGAAACCACUUGUUUUCCGGCCAAUUCUCCGGAAAUCUGAUGAACUCAUGACCGUUAAACUUGCAAAAGAAUCCAGAGAUCCGAUAUCCUGUCCCGAUUUCCAGAAAUCUGCAGAGAUUCCGGCGAGCAGAUCCGCCAUGGAAACCGGCCAUCUUCAGAGAUUUACGGAUAUGGGAAGAUCCGACGAGAAAACAGCUGAUCGGCGAUCUUCGUCGUUCGUUCACUAUCAGGUGUUGAAGAUCAGAGAAGAAGAUUCGCAUCUCGGAGAGGACAUCGGCGAGGGUUUGAGUACGAGAGAAAAGCUCGCUUUCCUUAAACUCAGCUCGCAGAUGGACGCUCUGUUCUACUCGCGGCCGAUCUUGCCGUCUUCUCCUCUCGGCAAUAAAACAGCGAUCGAAUCGUUCCAGUGAGGAGAGGAGUUAUAAAGUCGAGAGAGGAGAAUGCGUAUUAAGGCUUCGGGAGCCUGAAUUCCCUAUCACUGGCGAUUUUCUGGCAUUUCUUUCUUUUCGUUUCUCCUUCCUUUGAAGUGCGAUGUUCUGAUCCAUCUCCUUCAUCUGUACAGAUAACAGACGGCAGCUUCCAACUAUGUUUAGUUUCAUGAA